ACGAACUUUGGCUGAAGGCGGGGUCAGCGAGUACGCUGAAUCAUGACGCCACCGCUGCAGAAUCCAUGACGAUCACGUGCAGUGACGGGACGGACCAAAUCACCAGCAGUUACAAGGUGGACUUUUCGGACGCGGCCCCCGUUCUAACCAAUUUUGCCGGUACUUCCGGUCCGCUGGGUGACCUAUCGCCAGUGGGCACUUCCGUACAUCAGUUCACCGUUACCGACCAGGAUGACGCUAUUUCCUGUUCCAUCAACGCGCCGGAGAUUGCAAAGUUUGGCAUCACCAAGGUGGAUACCGCUACCGGAGCUCAACGGUUCGACGUCAAGACGAUUGCCCUGCUUGAUUACGACUCUGCUACGAGUUAAACGAUCACCGUCACGUGCACUGAUGCUAUCAACAGUGUGACGUCAUCAAGGACCAUCAAUAUAGCCGAUGACAAACCGGUUUUUACCGGACUUCCCGCUACGCUGUCGCCGGCGCGUGCCGACGGAUUGCUGACGGGGCGUCACUUCGCACGUUCAGCGUCACGGACGCCAACGACCAGCGUUUCAUAACUUGCUCAAUUUAGGCGCCACAGGACAGCUUCUUCAACGUGGUUCCUGGCACGGCGCCGACAUUUGCCAUCUGGGUGAAAGGCGGCGUGAAGUUGGACGCGGCGACGUCACCUCUCCUCGUUAACGUUCAGUGCGUUGAUGACAGAUCGCCGGCGAAUAUCAUAACCGAAACGUUCACGGUUCCCUUACUU
Dreissena polymorpha is the source of this 748-nucleotide RNA transcript. RefSeq lists it as uncharacterized. NCBI's taxonomy places the organism in Eukaryota, Metazoa, Mollusca, Bivalvia, Myida, Dreissenidae. The transcript has 5 exons. The record is from RefSeq and is a predicted model, not a curated record.